This 253-nucleotide ribosomal RNA is filed under the name uncultured bacterium. Its description in RNAcentral is "partial 16S ribosomal RNA". It matches the Rfam family "Bacterial small subunit ribosomal RNA", at positions 524 to 776 of the family's 1533-position model. The record is from RNAcentral.
UACGGGGGGGGCAAGCGUUGUUCGGAAUUACUGGGCGUAAAGGGCUCGUAGGUGGCCAACUAAGUCAGACGUGAAAUCCCUCGGCUUAACCGGGGAACUGCGUCUGAUACUGGAUGGCUUGAGUUUGGGAGAGGGACGCGGAAUUCCAGGUGUAGCGGUGAAAUGCGUAGAUAUCUGGAGGAACACCGGUGGCGAAGGCGGCGUCCUGGACCAACACUGACACUGAGGAGCGAAAGCCAAGGGAGCAAACGGG